RNAcentral lists this ribosomal RNA (509 nucleotides) under uncultured bacterium. RNAcentral's name for it is "bacterial SSU rRNA". It matches the Rfam family "Bacterial small subunit ribosomal RNA", at positions 791 to 1304 of the family's 1533-position model. The record is from RNAcentral.
UAGUCCACGCCGUAAACGAUGAUAACUAGCUGUCCGGGCUCAUAGAGCUUGGGUGGCGCAGCUAACGCAUUAAGUUAUCCGCCUGGGGAGUACGGUCGCAAGGUUGAAACUCAAAGGAAUUGACGGGGGCCCGCACAAGCGGAGGAGCAUGUGGUUUAAUUCGAUGAUACGCGAGGAACCUUACCUAGGCUUAAAUGUAGAUUGACGAUUCGGGAAACCGGAUUUUCUUCGGACAAUUUACAAGGUUGCUGCAUGGUUGUCGUCAGCUCGUGCCGUGAGAUGUUGGGUUAAGUCCCGCAACGAGCGCAACCCUCGUCACUAGUUACUAACGGUUCGGCCGAGGACUCUAGUGAGACUGCCUUCGCAAGGAGGAGGAAGGUGAGGACGACGUCAAGUCAUCAUGGCCCUUACGGCUAGGGCAACACACGUGCUACAAUGGCCAGGACAAUGAGAAGCGAUACCGCGAGGUGGAGCAAAUCUAUAAACCUGGUCUCAGUUCGGAUUGUAGU